Molecule: long non-coding RNA, 769 nt
Filed under: Zea mays
Lineage: Eukaryota; Viridiplantae; Streptophyta; Magnoliopsida; Poales; Poaceae
Description: drought-responsive long non-coding RNA
Source: RNAcentral
ACUGUAUGUUUGCCUAAUGGACUUGACCUCCACCUGAUUCUGAUACAUAUAUUUAUUUGGUUUCACUGACUGUUUAGCAAGUUCUAAUUCCUGUAAAAUGGUUCGUACAGGGUUCUGAUAAUUUCUUUCUUUGUAGUUAGUAUGGGAGUAGCUCUUCUCAUUCUCCAUGCUUUAGCUACCAAUCUUGUAGAUUCUGAGAUAUAAUGAACAUUGUUCUUGUUUCUUUGAUUAACAACAGGGUGAUAGUAAGUUAACUUCAAAAUCCAGCGAUGGCUCCAUUAAAAAGGAUGCCCUUGGUCAUGUGGGAGCAAGUAGCUCAGCUGUACAAGGGAUGGGUCAGCAAGGAACAUACAACCAAGGAAUGGGUUAUAUGCAACCUCAGUACCAUAACGGAGAUAUCUCGAACUAAUGAAGACAUGGACCUUUUCUGCAACAGCUGCUCUUCCCCGAGGCGGGUUUUUGGUCGCAGUUAUUUACUAAGUAAGACACCUUGCGGUGACCAUUAAAGAGUAACCAAUCACCCUGGGUAGGUCAAUUUUUAUCUGCAAGAACUGAUGAGGCCGCUUGGUAGGAGUAAAUCGCUUUUCCUGGGAACGAUUGUUGGUUAGCGCCGCUACUGUAUGUAUAUUGAGAUACCUUAACGAUUGGUCUUUUGGCUGCCAUUUGGUUACAUGUAUUUGUAUUUGGAGGCAUAAGUAUCGUGUAAUUUGUGUUAUGACUAGUGUAUUGACUAUUGAAUUAUGAGAAGAGCUGCUUUAGUUGUAAGAUC